CCGGCGGGUGGGGGGCUUCCUGCAGGCCCCGGGGGGCGCCGGCGGCCGGCGCGGGCUCGGCGGGCCGGGCAGGGGCGAGGGGCGCCGGGUCUUGCCCCAGAAGUUGCUGGCACAUCCACGCCUGAAAUGCGGCGCUCAGUCCUGGUCAGGAACCCAGGCCACAAAGGCCCGAGACCCGUUUAUGAAGAGCUCGACUCUGACUCCGAGGACCAAGACCCCAAUCCUGAAGAUCUGGACCCGGUUUCUGAAGCCCCAGAGCCUGACCCUGAAGACCUCAACACUGUCGCGGAAGACGUGGACCCCAGCUAUGAAGAUCUGGAGCCCGUCUCGGAGGAUCUGGACCCCGACGCCGAAGCUCCGGGCUCGGAACCCCAAGAUCCCGACCCCAUGUCUUCGAGUUUCGACCUCGAUCCAGAUGUGAUUGGCCCCGUACCCCUGAUUCUCGAUCCUAACAGCGACACCCUCAGCCCCGGCGAUCCAAACGUGGACCCCAUCUCCUCUGGCCUCACUGCCACCCCCCAGGUCUUGGCCACCAGCCCCACGGUGCUCCCCGCCCCCGCCAGCCCGCCCCGGGGCCCUUCUCCUGCCCGGAUUGCGGGCGAGCCUUCCGCCGCAGCUCCGGGCUGAGCCAGCAUCGCCGUACCGCUGCCCCGACUGCGGGAAGUCCUUCAGCCACGGUGCCACCCUGGCCCAGCACCGUGGCAUCCACACCGGGGCGCGGCCGUACCAGUGCGCGGCCUGCGGCAAGGCCUUCGGCUGGCGCUCCACGCUGCUGAAACAUCGCAGCAGCCACAGCGGGGAGAAGCCGCACCACUGCCCGGUGUGUGGCAAGGCCUUUGGGCACGGCUCGCUCCUGGCACAGCACCUGCGCACGCACGGCGGCCCGCGGCCCCACAAGUGCCAGGUGUGCGCCAAGGGCUUCGGCCAGGGCUCUGCGCUGCUCAAACACCUGCGCACGCACACGGGCGAGCGGCCCUACCCGUGUCCGCAGUGCGGCAAGGCCUUCGGGCAGAGCUCGGCUCUGCUGCAGCACCAGCGCACACACACGGCCGAGCGCCCCUACGGCUGCCCCCACUGCGGCAAAGCCUUCGGGCAGAGCUCCAGCUUGCACCACCACCUGCGCAUCCACACGGGCGGCUAGCGGCCCUACGCCUGCCCGCACUGCUCCAAGGCCUUCGGGUAGAGCUCAGUGCUGCUCCAGCACCUGCGCGUGCAUUCGGGCGAGCGUCCCUAUCGCUGUCAGCUCUGCAGGAAGGCCUUUGGCCAGGCCUCCAGCCUCACCAAGCACAAACGGGUGCAUGAGGGUGCGGCCUGGGCCUCGGGCCUGGCCUAAGCCCUGCAUCCAUGAUGAGGGGCAGGUCCCCCUCCUGGGUCCUGAUGCUGUUUCUGUGCUCGGCUCUGGCUUGGGCCUCAGCCCCGGCACCAGCUCUGGCUGCAACCCUGACCCUGGCUCUAGGCCGGGCACUCUGCCGGAUCCCAGCUCCAAACCCCUCCCCGGCUCCAGAUCCAACCCCAGCCCUACUCCUGUGGAAUCUUCUGACCCGAAGGCUGGGCACGACGCUGGUCCCAACCUUGUGCCCAGCCCAGACCCUGAUCCUGUGCCCAGUCCAGACCCUGAUCCUGUGCCCAGCCCUGAUCCCAACCCUGUGUCCUGCCCUGACCCCUGCUCUCCCACUCGUGGCACUGUCAGCCCAGCCCUCCCUACCGGCAAGAGUCCAGAGUGGGUACAGGAGCAAGGGGCACUGCUGGGGCCUGAUGGCUGAAGGAGACGCCGGCAUCCUCGGGGACCUGGGGAAGUUGUGUGUUGUGCAGUUAGUAAAAUCCUCCCACUGCC
RNA transcript from Nomascus leucogenys (northern white-cheeked gibbon), 1834 nucleotides. It is a transcript of the gene named zinc finger protein 358-like, with no coding region annotated. The record is from RefSeq and is a predicted model, not a curated record. The transcript has a single exon. NCBI's taxonomy places the organism in Eukaryota, Metazoa, Chordata, Mammalia, Primates, Hylobatidae.